UUUCCGUAGGUGAACCUGCGGAAGGAUCAUUGUCGAAACCUGCCCAGCAGAACGACCCGCGAACUUGUCUAAACAACCGGGGGCGGGGGGCGUUCUCGCCCCGUUCCCCCGGCCGGCGGGGAGACACUCGUGCCUUCUUGCCGAACAACGUACCCCGGCGCGGUCUGCGCCAAGGAACUUCAACUAAAGAGUGCCUCCGGUCGACUCGGAAACGGCGUGCGUGCCGGGGGCGAAGCUAGUGCAAAACCAUAACGACUCUCGGCAACGGAUAUCUCGGCUCUC
RNAcentral lists this unclassified non-coding RNA (282 nucleotides) under plant metagenome. RNAcentral describes it as "partial contains small subunit ribosomal RNA, internal transcribed spacer 1, and 5.8S ribosomal RNA". The record is from RNAcentral.